AGACCGAUAGCGAACAAGUACCGUGAGGGAAAGAUGAAAAGCACUUUGGAAAGAGAGUUAAACAGUACGUGAAAUUGCUGAAAGGGAAACGAUUGAAGUCAGUCGCGUCGUUCAGAACUCAACCUUGCCUUCGGGCUCGGUGCACUUUCUGUUUGACGGGCCAGCAUCAGUUUUGACUGUCGGAAAAAGGUCUUCGGAAUGUGGCACCUCCGGGUGUGUUAUAGCCGUUGGUCGUAUACGACGGUUGGGACUGAGGACCGCAGCACGCCUUUUGGCCGGGGUUCGCCCACGUACGUGCUUAGGAUGCUGGCGUAAUGGCUUUAAACGACCCGUCUUGAAACACGGACCAAG
This 351-nucleotide ribosomal RNA is filed under the name Phanerodontia chrysosporium. RNAcentral's name for it is "partial large subunit ribosomal RNA". It matches the Rfam family "Eukaryotic large subunit ribosomal RNA", at positions 331 to 670 of the family's 3401-position model. Lineage: Eukaryota; Fungi; Basidiomycota; Agaricomycetes; Polyporales; Phanerochaetaceae. The record is from RNAcentral.